GGUUGUGGCUCAGUGAUAGAGCACUUGCCUAAAAUGUGUAAAGCCCUGGGUUUGAUCCCCAGCACCA
RNAcentral lists this transfer RNA (67 nucleotides) under Marmota monax (woodchuck). RNAcentral's name for it is "tRNA.Phe". The record is from RNAcentral. Lineage: Eukaryota; Metazoa; Chordata; Mammalia; Rodentia; Sciuridae.